This 1199-nucleotide long non-coding RNA is filed under the name Ananas comosus (pineapple). RNAcentral's name for it is "long non-coding RNA (ACOM_LNC021866)". The record is from RNAcentral. Lineage: Eukaryota; Viridiplantae; Streptophyta; Magnoliopsida; Poales; Bromeliaceae.
GAAUAGUCGGAGUGCUAAAUUAUCAGUAAUACGAGGUUUUCGUACUACAAAGUUAUUUUUAAUGAUGCGAUUUUCAAAUUAACGAUCGGCUUUGUUAAACUUGAUUUAUACUAUUAAAAGUAUUUUAAAACUAAGUUUUGUAAUUUUUUAGCAUUAUUUAUUUAUCAAAUUAGCAGUUUAAAAAUAAAUUGUGAAAAUAAAAAUCUCAUAAAAAAUAAUAAUUAAAAUUUUAAAUUUAAGGUCAGAGAUAUUAAUCUUAUUCUAAAUAGUAAAAAAAAAAUUUCUAUAAAAAUUUUAUCAUAUUUGAAUUAUUUUACACCGUUAAAUUCGCAAACACAUUAUAUCGACUAAUUAAUAAAAUUAUCAAUUUUGAGACACUAUUUUGAUUACUAGCCAAAUAAUAUUAAAAAAUAUAAAAUUUGAUUUUAAAAUAUUUUUAAUAUUAUAGAUCAUAUCUAACGAGGCCGAUACAUGAUUCAAAAAUCACAUCAUGGAGAUAUCCCUACUACUACGACAGCCUAGCUGGAAAGGGAAAUCUAUUUAACUACAUUAAAGGAGGGUUUGGGGGACCUUAGAGUGACACGUGUCCCCACAACCCUCCUAUUCUCUCUCUUUCUACACACACACACACACACACACACACAUAUAUAUAUAUAUAUAUAUAUAUAUAUAUAUAUAUAUAUAUAUAUGAGUGAGGCUACUAUACUAUCGGAAGCAUGGAGCCUUCUGUGCUUCCAGCUCGUUUUCGAUGUUGCGACUUUCGAAUUGUUGAUCGGCUCCGUUAAACUUGAUCUAGAGUAUUUGGAGUACCUAGAAAAUAAAUUUUAUUAUUUCUCGAUAUCAUUUGCCUAGUGAUCGAAUGGGCUCAAAAUCAACAAAUUUCAAUGGCCGUAGUGUAUCGUUUGCAAGUUUAACGGUGUAGAAAUAUUCAAAUCACGUGAAAUUUUGAUAGAAAAUUCUUGAUACUAUAUAAAACAAGAUUAAUAUCUUUGAUUUAAAAUUUUAAUGUCAUAUUAUUACAUUUUGUAAGAUUUUUAUUUUCAGCCAUUGAUUUUGAGCCCUUCGUUCACUAGGCAAAAAUAAUAAUCUAAAUCAUAAAUUUAUUUCUAGAUACUUCAAAUACUCCAGAUCAAGUUUAACGGAGCCGAUCGACGAUUCGAAAGUCGCAACAUCGAAAACGAGCUGAAAGCACGGAAGGC